UACGGGGGGAGCAAGCGUUGUUCGGAUUUACUGGGCGUAAAGGGCGCGUAGGCGGUCGUGACAAGUCACUUGUGAAAUCUCCGGGCUUAACCCGGAAAGGUCAACUGAUACUGUGCGACUAGAGUGCGGAAGGGGCAACUGGAAUUCUCGGUGUAGCGGUGAAAUGCGUAGAUAUCGAGAGGAACACCUGCGGCGAAGGCGGGUUGCUGGGCCGACACUGACGCUGAUGCGCGAAAGCCAGGGGAGCGAACGGG
Molecule: ribosomal RNA, 254 nt
Filed under: uncultured bacterium
Lineage: Bacteria
Description: partial 16S ribosomal RNA
Rfam family: Bacterial small subunit ribosomal RNA
Source: RNAcentral